AGUGAACGCUGGCGGUAGGCCUAACACAUGCAAGUCGAACGGUAGCACAGUAAGAGCUUGCUCUUACGGGUGGCGAGUGGCGGACGGGUGAGGAAUACAUCGGAAUCUACUUUUUCGUGGGGGAUAACGUAGGGAAACUUACGCUAAUACCGCAUACGACCUACGGGUGAAAGCAGGGGAUCUUCGGACCUUGCGCGACUGAAUGAGCCGAUGUCGGAUUAGCUAGUUGGCGGGGUAAAGGCCCACCAAGGCGACGAUCCGUAGCUGGUCUGAGAGGAUGAUCAGCCACACUGGAACUGAGACACGGUCCAGACUCCUACGGGAGGCAGCAGUGGGGAAUAUUGGACAAUGGGCGCAAGCCUGAUCCAGCCAUACCGCGUGGGUGAAGAAGGCCUUCGGGUUGUAAAGCCCUUUUGUUGGGAAAGAAAAGCAGCAGGUUAAUACCCCGCUGUUCUGACGGUACCCAAAGAAUAAGCACCGGCUAACUUCGUG
RNAcentral lists this ribosomal RNA (492 nucleotides) under uncultured bacterium. Its description in RNAcentral is "partial 16S ribosomal RNA". It matches the Rfam family "Bacterial small subunit ribosomal RNA", at positions 29 to 507 of the family's 1533-position model. The record is from RNAcentral.